This 513-nucleotide ribosomal RNA is filed under the name Triticum aestivum (bread wheat). Its description in RNAcentral is "partial small subunit ribosomal RNA". Lineage: Eukaryota; Viridiplantae; Streptophyta; Magnoliopsida; Poales; Poaceae. The record is from RNAcentral.
AUGGAGCGGUCGGCGGCGGCUCCCGGUGGUGCGAUGCAGCGCUUGCGCGGCGGCCCGGAGCUUCGUGCUGCAACGGUGCGUCGCCGGCGGCUGCAAUGGAGCUUCACCCGCGAAGCCCAGAGCUGUGAAGCAGCGCCCGGCGCUCCAAUGGAGCUUCCCCGGCGAGCCCGGAGCUGUGAAGCAGCGCCCGGCGCUCCAAUGGAGCUUCACCGGCGAGCCCGGAGCUGCUCUGCAGCGGGUGGUGCGGCGUUGGAGCUCCGCCGGGGCUGCAAUGGAGCUCAGCCGGAGUUGCAAUGGAACUUCGUCGGAGCAAUGGAGCUCAGCCAGCGUUGGAGCUCCGCCGGGGCUGCAAUGGAGCUCAGUCGGGGUUGCAAUGGAGCCGCCGGGGCUGCAGUGAAGCACGCCAAAGGGUCGUCAAGAUUUCGUCGGGGUUGCAAUGGAGCCGCCGGAGUUGCAGUGAAGCGCGCCGGAGCUGCAGUGGAGCAUGCCGGAGGGUUGUCGAAACUUCGUUGA